Molecule: ribosomal RNA, 428 nt
Filed under: uncultured bacterium
Lineage: Bacteria
Description: bacterial SSU rRNA
Rfam family: Bacterial small subunit ribosomal RNA
Source: RNAcentral
CGGUGUGCUUCACACAUGGCAAGUCGAACGAGGUAGCAAUACCUAGUGGCGGACGGGUGAGUAACGCGUGGGAAUCUGCCUUUAGAUGGGGGAUAACGGGUCGAAAGACUCGCUAAUACCGCAUAUGACGAAAGUUGAAAGGAGUAAUCCGUCUAAAGAUGAGCCCGCGUCCGAUUAGCUAGUUGGUAGAGUAAAAAGCCUACCAAGGCGACGAUCGGUAGCUGGUCUGAGAGGAUGAUCAGCCACAAUGGGACUGAGACACGGCCCAUACUCCUACGGGAGGCAGCAGUGGGGAAUUUUACGCAAUGGGCGAAAGCCUGACGUAGCGACACCGCGUGAGCGAAGAAGCCCCUUGGGGUGUAAAAGCUCUGUCAGCUGGAACGAAAAAAAUGACGGUACCAGCAGAGGAAGCAUCGGCUAACUACGUG